UACGAGGGGGCUAGCGUUGUUCGGAAUUACUGGGCGUAAAGCGCACGUAGGCGGACCGGAAAGUCAGAGGUGAAAUCCCAGGGCUCAACCUGGGGGCUGCGUCUGAGACUGCGGGGCUAGAGGCCGAGAGAGGGUGGUGGAAUUCCCAGUGUAGAGGUGAAAUUCGUAGAUAUUCGGAAGAACACCAGUGGCGAAGGCGACUAACUGGACAAGUAUUGACGCUGAGGUACGAAAGCGUGGGGAGCAAACAGG
Molecule: ribosomal RNA, 252 nt
Filed under: uncultured bacterium
Lineage: Bacteria
Description: partial 16S ribosomal RNA
Rfam family: Bacterial small subunit ribosomal RNA
Source: RNAcentral